UACAGAGGGUGCGAACGUUGCUCGGAAUUACUGGGCGUAAAGCGCGUGUAGGCGGGACUGCAAGUCAGAUGUGAAAUCCCCGGGCUCAACCUGGGAACUGCACCUGAAACUGCAGACCUUGAGUACUGGAGAGGGCGGCGGAAUUCCUGGUGUAGAGGUGAAAUUCGUAGAUAUCAGGAGGAACACCGGUGGCGAAGGCGGCCGCCUGGACAAAGACUGACGCUCAGGUGCGAAAGCGUGGGGAGCAAACAGG
Molecule: unclassified non-coding RNA, 253 nt
Filed under: uncultured Sandaracinaceae bacterium
Lineage: Bacteria; Pseudomonadati; Myxococcota; Polyangiales; Sandaracinaceae
Description: contains 16S-23S intergenic spacer region
Rfam family: Bacterial small subunit ribosomal RNA
Source: RNAcentral